Molecule: long non-coding RNA, 871 nt
Filed under: Anser brachyrhynchus (Pink-footed goose)
Lineage: Eukaryota; Metazoa; Chordata; Aves; Anseriformes; Anatidae
Description: lncRNA (ENSABRG00000019756.1)
Source: RNAcentral
UAUGCUCAGAGCUACCCAAGAAAGAAGACGCGACUGUCUGACUUGGAUGAAAAGGCUUGCCAAGGGGCCUUGAAGAGGCCACUACAGAGAGAACCUAAAAGUCACCGUCAUGAAAGGUAGCCGCAGCUCAGAAGUCAGUGCUUCAGAGAGCGAGUGAGCGACACGCCCUUCGGUAGGCUUUCUGUGGCUUUGUGCUUAUCCCCAGGUGUAUCCGGAUAAACUGUGGAGAGCCACAACAAGGAGAGAACCUGGCUGACCUUGGGAGCCUUGGAGGGCAGAAGAUGCGUGUGGAGGUACGAUAAUGAGACUCGCCCUAUUGUCAGAGUCCUCUCAUCAACAGCAGGCGGCAUGUGCUCCUGGGGCUGAUGGCUAAGGAUCAGGUAGUAGCAGAGCAAAGGUGGGGAUAUUGUUGUAAACUUGUAGGACUUUUUUUCCCUUCAUCUACAGUCGUACAGUGAGCUUGAAACUUUGUGAUACAGUAGAGGCCGAGUGUUGGAUCGGAUGUACUGGAAGCAACUUGCUGCAGAGCUAGAAUUUUUACGAGGUGGUUACGGCACGGCACUACAGUAACAGCCGUAGGAGGAGCGGGCCUUUGGAGGAAAUGCUGAGAUCAGUCCCAAGCACUUGACCAAGGCACCGACGAAGGACAAUGUCAGCAGAAGAUCCAAAAGAUGUCUGUGCAGAUUGCCAGUGCUGCAGACUAUGUGAAAUUGCAUUGGAAACUGUUCUUUCAGCCCCGCUUUGGAUCUGUGCUACGCCUGAAUUUCCACGGUCGGGACCAGCCAGGUUGCUAUGGCACUCGGACCCGAACGUUGAUGGACCGUGGUCUUGUAGCCUAUUUCUAAUAGCAACAAGCACCGGAUGCUUUUGA